RNAcentral lists this transfer RNA (98 nucleotides) under Acidobacteriota bacterium. RNAcentral describes it as "tRNA-Sec". It matches the Rfam family "Selenocysteine transfer RNA". Lineage: Bacteria; Pseudomonadati; Acidobacteriota. The record is from RNAcentral.
GGAAGCGCAUGGGGUCUGGCGGCCUCCGCGGACUUCAAAUCCGUUGAUUCCGGGUUAGCCCCCGGGAUGGUGGGUUCGAUUCCCACACGCUUCCGCCA